This 67-nucleotide transfer RNA is filed under the name Marmota monax (woodchuck). Its description in RNAcentral is "tRNA.Ala". It matches the Rfam family "tRNA". Rfam says of the family: Transfer RNA (tRNA) molecules are approximately 80 nucleotides in length. Lineage: Eukaryota; Metazoa; Chordata; Mammalia; Rodentia; Sciuridae. The record is from RNAcentral.
GGUUGUGGCUCAGUGGUAGAGCGCUUGCCUAGCAUGUAUGAGGCACUGGGUUCAAUUCUCAGCACCA